UCUCCGUUGGUGAACCAGCGGAGGGAUCAUUACAGAGUUUAUUAUAACUCCUAAACCCAUGUGAACCUACCUUCUGUUGCCUCGGCAGGCAAGUCGUAUCUUGCUACCCUAUAGGACCCUAUCUUGUAAGACGUUACCUUAUAAGGUCCUAUCCGGUAGAGAGAUGCGGUACUACCUGCCGGUGGACUGAAAAAAAAAUUCUGUUUAAUAAAUGGUAUUCAGAAUCAUUAUAUGGAAAUUAAGUUAAAACUUUCAACAACGGAUCUCUUGGUUCUG
Molecule: unclassified non-coding RNA, 276 nt
Filed under: plant metagenome
Description: partial contains small subunit ribosomal RNA, internal transcribed spacer 1, and 5.8S ribosomal RNA
Source: RNAcentral